GUAACUUUAGUUUAUUUGGAGAAUAUUGGUUUGUCUAACCAGAGGAAGCUUGGGCUAAGUUGCU
Molecule: transfer RNA, 64 nt
Filed under: Spirometra erinaceieuropaei
Lineage: Eukaryota; Metazoa; Platyhelminthes; Cestoda; Diphyllobothriidea; Diphyllobothriidae
Also listed under: 5 other names
Description: trnD(gtc)
Source: RNAcentral